ACUCCUACGGGAGGCAGCAGUAGGGAAUCUUCCACAAUGGACGAAAGUCUGAUGGAGCAACGCCGCGUGAACGAUGAAGGCUUUCGGGUCGUAAAGUUCUGUUGUAAGGGAAGAACAAGUGCCGCAGGCAAUGGCGGCACCUUGACGGUACCUUGCGAGAAAGCCACGGCUAACUACGUGCCAGCAGCCGCGGUAAUACGUAGGUGGCAAGCGUUGUCCGGAAUUAUUGGGCGUAAAGCGCGCGCAGGCGGCCUCUUAAGUCUGAUGUGAAAGCCCCCCGGCUCAACCGGGGAGGGCCAUUGGAAACUGGGAGGCUUGAGUAUAGGAGAGAAGAGUGGAAUUCCACGUGUAGCGGUGAAAUGCGUAGAGAUGUGGAGGAACACCAGUGGCGAAGGCGACUCUUUGGCCUAUAACUGACGCUGAGGCGCGAAAGCGU
This 436-nucleotide ribosomal RNA is filed under the name uncultured bacterium. RNAcentral describes it as "bacterial SSU rRNA". It matches the Rfam family "Bacterial small subunit ribosomal RNA", at positions 335 to 762 of the family's 1533-position model. The record is from RNAcentral.